RNAcentral lists this ribosomal RNA (497 nucleotides) under uncultured bacterium. RNAcentral's name for it is "partial 16S ribosomal RNA". It matches the Rfam family "Bacterial small subunit ribosomal RNA", at positions 28 to 507 of the family's 1533-position model. The record is from RNAcentral.
GAUGAACGCUGGCGGCGUGCCUAAUACAUGCAAGUCGAGCGAACGGACGAGAAGCUUGCUUCUCUGAUGUUAGCGGCGGACGGGUGAGUAACACGUGGAUAACCUACCUAUAAGACUGGGAUAACUUCGGGAAACCGGAGCUAAUACCGGAUGAUAUUUUGAACCGCAUGGUUCAAAAGUGAAAGACGGUCUUGCUGUCACUUAUAGAUGGAUCCGCGCUGCAUUAGCUAGUUGGUAAGGUAACGGUUUACCAAGGCAACGAUGCAUAGCCGACCUGAUAGGGUGAUCAGCCACACUGGAACUGAGACACGGUCCAGACUCCGACGGGAGGCAGCAGUAGGGAAUCUUCCGCAAUGGGCGAAAGCCUGACGGAGCAACGCCGCGUGAGUGAUGAAGAUCUUCGGAUCGUAAAACUCUGUUAUUAGGGAAGAACAUAUGUGUAAGUAACUGUGCACAUCUUGACGGUACCUAAUCAGAAAGCCACGGCUAACUACGUG